AAUGAACGUUGGCGGCGUGGAUUAGGCAUGCAAGUCGCGCGAGAAGCUAAUUAGCUUGCUAAGAGGCGGACAGCGGCGGAAGGGAGAGUAACGCGUGGUUACGUACCCUCGAGACCGGGAUAGUAGCGGGAAACUGCUAGUAAUACCGGAUAACAUCUUCGGAUCAAAUGGUGUGAUUCCGCUCGAGGAUUGGACCGCGUACUAUUAGCUUGUUGGCGGGGUAAUGGCCCACCAAGGCUGCGAUGGUUACCGGGUGUGAGAGCAUGGCCCGGCUCACUGGGACUGAGACACUGCCCAGACAUCUACGGAUGGCUGCAGUCGAGAAUCUUCGGCAAUGGACGAAAGUCUGACCGAGCGACGCCGCGUGCGGGAUGAAGGCCCUCGGGUUGUAAACCGCUGUCAGUUAGGAGGAAAUCUAUGAGGGUUCU
RNAcentral lists this ribosomal RNA (428 nucleotides) under uncultured bacterium. Its description in RNAcentral is "bacterial SSU rRNA". It matches the Rfam family "Bacterial small subunit ribosomal RNA", at positions 29 to 464 of the family's 1533-position model. The record is from RNAcentral.